Molecule: ribosomal RNA, 484 nt
Filed under: uncultured bacterium
Lineage: Bacteria
Description: partial 16S ribosomal RNA
Rfam family: Bacterial small subunit ribosomal RNA
Source: RNAcentral
AUUGAACGCUGGCGGCAGGCCUAACACAUGCAAGUCGAGCGGAUGAAGGGAGCUUGCUCCUGGAUUCAGCGGCGGACGGGUGAGUAAUGCCUAUGAAUCUGCCUGGUAGUGGGGGAUAACGUCCGGAAACGGGCGCUAAUACCGCAUACGUCCUGUGGUAGAAAGUGGGGGAUCUUCGGACCUCACGCUAUCAUAUGACCCUAGGUCGGAUUAGCUAGUUGGUGGGGUAAAGGCCUACCAAGGCGACGAUCCGUAACUGGUCUGAGAGGAUGAUCAGUAAAACUGGAACUGAGACACGGUCCAGACUCCUACGGGAGGCAGCAGUGGGGAAUAUUGGACAAUGGGCGAAAGCCUGAUACAGCCAAGCCGCGUGUGUGAAGAAGGUCUUCGGAUUGUAAAGCACGUUAAGUUGGGAGGAAGGGAAGUAAGUUAAUACCUUGCUGUUUUGACGUUACCAAAAGAAUAAGCACCGGCUAACUUCGUG